UAACAUUUAUCCUUAUUAUACGUUUUACUCAAUUUAUAUGUGUGAGAAGCAGGCAGAGCCUCCGGGCUAUGAGACAGAAAGUUAUAACCUACGGGUUAUAUGAGAAAGAAAGUUAUAGCCUACGGGCUAUAUGAGACAGAAAGUUAUAACCUACGGGUUAUAUGAGAAAGAAAGUUAUAGCCUACGGGCUAUAUGAGACAGAAAGUUAUAGCCUACGGGUUAUAUGAGAAAGAAAGUUAUAGUCUACGGGCUAUAUGAGACAGAAAGUUAUAUAGCCUUCGAGCUAAGAGACAGAAAGUUAUUGCUUUCGGGCAAUAUGAAAGAGCAGACAGUUUUUAUUGCACUUAUAUUUGUUGUGAUUCUUAUAAUAUGGAUAAAUGCACCCCACUGAGUUUAUUGUACUCACCCCAAAACAAUAUCUUUUCAGGAGAUGACUCGGGCGAUGAGAGGCGGGGCGAGUGAUGGUCAAGAUAAAGAAGAAAUAAUGUUUUAUUUUCAAUUGGAAUAAAGACUCAGUUUAUGAUGUUUAUUUACUUUUCUCAGUUGGAUUUG
Molecule: long non-coding RNA, 552 nt
Filed under: Salvia miltiorrhiza (redroot sage)
Lineage: Eukaryota; Viridiplantae; Streptophyta; Magnoliopsida; Lamiales; Lamiaceae
Description: long non-coding RNA (SMIL_LNC001603)
Source: RNAcentral